CGGGUGCGUAACGCGUGGGAAUCUGCCUUAUAGUGGGGGAUAGCCCAGAGAAAUCUGGAUUAAUACCGCAUAAUCCCUACGGGGGAAAGCUUGGGAUCUUCGGACCUGGCGCUAUUAGAUGAGCCCGCGUUAGAUUAGCUUGUUGGUGAGGUAAUGGCUCACCAAGGCGACGAUCUAUAGCUGGUCUGAGAGGACGACCAGCCACACUGGGACUGAGACACGGCCCAG
Molecule: ribosomal RNA, 228 nt
Filed under: uncultured bacterium
Lineage: Bacteria
Description: partial 16S ribosomal RNA
Rfam family: Bacterial small subunit ribosomal RNA
Source: RNAcentral